UGGGGAAUAUUGCACAAUGGAGGGAACUCUGAUGCAGCGACGCCGCGUGAACGAAGAAGGCUUUCGAGUCGUAAAGUUCUUUUAUAUGGGAAGAUAAUGACGGUACCAUAAGAAAAAGCCCCGGCUAACUACGUGCCAGCAGCCGCUGUAAUACGUAGGGGGCUAGCGUUCUCCGGAAUCACUGGGCGUAAAGGGUUCGCAGGCGGAAAUGCAAGUCAGGUGUAAAAGGCAGUAGCUUAACUACUGUAAGCAUUUGAAACUGCAUAUCUUGAGAAGAGUAGAGGUAAGUGGAAUUUUUAGUGUAGCGGUGAAAUGCGUAGAUAUUAAAAAGAAUACCGGUGGCGAAGGCGACUUACUGGGAUCAUUCUGACGCUGAGGAACGAAAGCGUGGGUAGCAAACAGG
This 403-nucleotide ribosomal RNA is filed under the name bacterium. Its description in RNAcentral is "partial 16S ribosomal RNA". It matches the Rfam family "Bacterial small subunit ribosomal RNA", at positions 355 to 776 of the family's 1533-position model. The record is from RNAcentral.